UCGCAAUGUAGGCACAGCGUAUGUGCCAUAUAUGCCGCUGCUGGCACCGCGUGCAGUGGCAAUGAUGGCGGUGUCCCCGGGUGAGACCUAUUGUGCGAGGACGAUACAGUAUUAUAAUAUUAUAUACCUGAGGGUGUCCAAAAGACAAACAAAGGGGAUGCCGAAAACGAGUUUCACCUUUGGAAACUUUCACUUUACGUUAUUUAUUGCCCGGCGUGCGUGCGUGCGUCCGUGUAUAUUUUUACUGUGCACAAUAAUUCCGAUGACAGUGCACGUACCCACACGUGUAUAAUGCGUGUGUGUGUGUGUGUGUGUGUGUGUGUGUGUGUGUGUGUGUGUGUGCAUGGUACCCACAAGCCCCCAGUCGAAAAUCGUCGCAUUUCGUCGAACACGUCCGCGCUGGAAUCAUCACCGUCGUUCAACGCCGCCGCCGCCGCCGCCGCAGCCGCCGCCGAGCAUAAUACUUUACAGUGUGCACGUUCGAUUCAAUUAUUAGUGAAUUUGAUGGAUUGCUACAAGUUUUCAGUGCAUGCUGUAGCCCAAGUGCAUAUAGCGGUCAUUAUUCCAUACCUACUCAGUAUAAUUGCACUUGCAGUACCUACCUACCCACUCGGUUUCAGUAGCCACACAUUUCGUUACGGAGCAGCUUAAUGUUAGCCGCUGUAAUAAAUUUGUCGAGUGAACGCGUUCGAAAAUCCUGUUGAACACCGCGAAUACCUACGUAAUAAAUGACCAAUAACAAUAUCGCAGUGUUAUAAUAUUAUUAUCAUCGUGCUUCGUCGUUUAUCUAACUGGUGCAGAGCUGCAGAGGUCGUUUAUAAUAUAUAGCUUUUGAUGACUGACUACUUUGUUAAAUUCAUUUUUUUCCCGUAUGAAUUGUUACUCACUCGACAUAUUUGCAUAAAACAAUGGAAUUAUUAAAACUAAAUUCAAACGUAGCUGUGAACAUUAUACCCAUUUAAACAUUUCUGUAUGUGAUUUAGAUGAUAAUAUUGUAUACCUGUUGUGGUGGUUCGUGCUCGAGACUUAAGCAUAGUGCGGAACUUCUGAUAUAAAAUUAAGGGUCAUCUCGCGGAUGCACACGACGACGACCACAAACGUUUUACCCGAAGAUCUUUUCCAUCCUGCGUGCGCUCUCUCGAAACGUGUGUAAUAUGUAUUAUCCGCGUGUACCUCCAUAUGUAUAUUUUACUUUUUAAACAUCGGCUAUGUUAUAUACCUAUAUGCGUGUAUGAGUACAAUAUCAUAUAGAGAACGCACCCGCAGCAGCAACCCACGCGCUUACGACUUGGUUGAAUAUACCUAAGUACUAGCUGCAGCUCAGAUUACAAUCGCGCGGGUAAUCAGCAAUCGCAUUAACUGUGUUGCUAAUAAUAUAAUAUGUUAUGCCAAACACUCCUUCAUGUUGGAUAUAUAAACUGUAUGAACAUACUCGACAACAUCAACUGGACUAAACGUUAUAAUAAUUACAUGAAAUACGAUAUAUUGGAUGUGCAAGAGCGUUGACUGAAUCAAAAUAAUAUUAUUUAAUACAUAAACCUGCCUACCUACCUACUUAUGUGUACCUAAUGUUUAAUUUACACUAAACGCUUUGUUGUACCGCUCACAUCAACAUUAAUAUAUUAUAUUAAUUUACAUUUGUAUAUUGAGUAGAAUAAUUUAUAUACAUCCAUCCAUAUUAUGUCUAAUUAAAAUGUAUUUUUUACAUAAUUAGUGUAUAUGUAAGAUUAGAAAACCGUUGUGUAUUUAAAACACGUAUAUUAAAAUAUGUAUGUUGCACGGGCAAUAAUUUAAUACAUCAUCAUAGGUACUAUCGUGUGGUUAAAUUAAUUAUUUUCCGAUUUGCCGCUGAAAGGAAAUCGAGCAAUCAGUUGUUUAUGCAUGAAUAUAAUAUAUACAUACACCGAAAGCCGGGUUAUAUAUACUAUAUUAUAAUCAUCAAUCAAUAUGUUGUAACUCGCCGAAUAUGAUAUAUAUCUACCGUAGUGUAAAUUAUCAAUUUAUAAACUUGUAUAGUUUAUUGAAUUUAUAAUAAACAUCAUCAUAAUCGCAUAUAAAGAUUAA
Myzus persicae (green peach aphid) is the source of this 2064-nucleotide long non-coding RNA. RefSeq lists it as uncharacterized. The transcript has 7 exons. The record is from RefSeq and is a predicted model, not a curated record. Lineage: Eukaryota; Metazoa; Arthropoda; Insecta; Hemiptera; Aphididae.